Molecule: ribosomal RNA, 391 nt
Filed under: uncultured bacterium
Lineage: Bacteria
Description: bacterial SSU rRNA
Rfam family: Bacterial small subunit ribosomal RNA
Source: RNAcentral
UAUUGCACAAUGGGGGAAACCCUGAUGCAGCAACGCCGCGUGAGUGAAGAGGUAUUUCGGUANGUAAAGCUCUAUCAGCAGGGAANNCGNNNANGGUACCUGAGUAAGAAGCCCCGGCUAACUACGUGCCAGCAGCCGCGGUAAUACGUAGGGGGCAAGCGUUAUCCGGAUUUACUGGGUGUAAAGGGAGCGUAGACGGUGAGACAAGUCUGAAGUGAAAGCCCGGGGCUCAACCCCGGGACUGCUUUGGAAACUGCCUGACUGGAGUGCUGGAGAGGCAAGUGGAAUUCCUAGUGUAGCGGUGAAAUGCGUAGAUAUUAGGAAGAACACCAGUGGCGAAGGCGGCUUGCUGGACAGUAACUGACGUUGAGGCUCGAAAGCGUGGGGAGCA